This 253-nucleotide ribosomal RNA is filed under the name Alistipes finegoldii DSM 17242. Its description in RNAcentral is "partial 16S ribosomal RNA". It matches the Rfam family "Bacterial small subunit ribosomal RNA", at positions 524 to 776 of the family's 1533-position model. The record is from RNAcentral. Lineage: Bacteria; Pseudomonadati; Bacteroidota; Bacteroidia; Bacteroidales; Rikenellaceae.
UACGGAGGAUCCAAGCGUUAUCCGGAUUUAUUGGGUUUAAAGGGUGCGUAGGCGGUUUUAUAAGUUAGAGGUGAAAAUUCGGGGCUCAACUCCGGACGUGCCUCUAAUACUGUAUGACUAGAGAUUAGAUGCGGUAGGCGGAAUGUAUGGUGUAGCGGUGAAAUGCGUAGAGAUCAUACAGAACACCGAUUGCGAAGGCAGCUUACCAAACUACAUCUGACGUUGAGGCACGAAAGCGUGGGGAGCAAACAGG